RNAcentral lists this ribosomal RNA (468 nucleotides) under uncultured bacterium. RNAcentral's name for it is "partial 16S ribosomal RNA". It matches the Rfam family "Bacterial small subunit ribosomal RNA", at positions 28 to 507 of the family's 1533-position model. The record is from RNAcentral.
GACGAACGCUGGCGGCGUGCUUAACACAUGCAAGUCGAACGGAAAGGCCCUGCUUUUGUGGGGUGCUCGAGUGGCGAACGGGUGAGUAACACGUGAGUAACCUGCCCUUGACUUUGGGAUAACUUCAGGAAACUGGGGCUAAUACCGGAUAGGAUCUCCUGCUGCAUGGUGGGGGUUGGAAAGUUUCGGCGGUUGGGGAUGGACUCGCGGCUUAUCAGCUUGUUGGUGGGGUAGUGGCUUACCAAGGCUUUGACGGGUAGCCGGCCUGAGAGGGUGACCGGCCGCAUUGGGACUGAGAGACGGCCCAGACGCCUACGGGAGGCAGCAGUGGGGAAUAUUGCACAAUGGGCGGAAGCCUGAUGCAGCAACGCCGCGUGCGGGAUGACGGCCUUCGGGUUGUAAACCGCUUUCGCCUGUGACGAAGCGUGAGUGACGGUAAUGGGUAAAGAAGCACCGGCUAACUACGUG